UGGGGAAUAUUGGACAAUGGGGGCAACCCUGAUCCAGCAAUGCCGCGUGUGUGAAGAAGGCCUGAGGGUUGUAAAGCACUAUCAGUGGGGAGGAGGGUGUAUUAGGUUAAGAGCCAGAUACAUUGACGUUACCCACAGAAGAAGCACCGGCUAACUCCGUGCCAGCAGCCGCGGUAAUACGGAGGGUGCGAGCGUUAAUCGGAAUUACUGGGCGUAAAGGGUGCGUAGGUGGGGCAAUAAGUUAGCUGUGAAAUUCCUGGGCUUAACCUAGGGUGGUCAGCUAAGACUGUUGUUCUGGAGUAUAGGAGAGGGUAGUGGAAUUUCCGGUGUAGCGGUGAAAUGCGUAGAGAUCGGAAGGAACACCAGUGGCGAAGGCGGCUACCUGGCCUAAUACUGACACUGAGGCACGAAAGCGUGGGGAGCAAACAGGAUUAGAUACCCCUGUAGUCC
RNAcentral lists this ribosomal RNA (450 nucleotides) under uncultured bacterium. RNAcentral describes it as "bacterial SSU rRNA". It matches the Rfam family "Bacterial small subunit ribosomal RNA", at positions 355 to 796 of the family's 1533-position model. The record is from RNAcentral.